This 434-nucleotide ribosomal RNA is filed under the name uncultured bacterium. RNAcentral describes it as "partial 16S ribosomal RNA". It matches the Rfam family "Bacterial small subunit ribosomal RNA", at positions 29 to 507 of the family's 1533-position model. The record is from RNAcentral.
AGCGAACGCUGGCGGCAGGCCUAACACAUGCAAGUCGAACGAACCUUUCGGGGUUAGUGGCGGACGGGUGAGUAACACGUGGGAACGUGCCUUUAGGUUCGGAAUAACUCAGGGAAACUUGUGCUAAUACCGAAUGUGCCCUUCGGGGGAAAGAUUUAUCGCCUUUAGAGCGGCCCGCGUCUGAUUAGCUAGUUGGUUGAGGUAAUGGCUCACCAAGGCGACGAUCAGUAGCUGGUCUGAGAGGAUGAUCAGCCACAUUGGGACUGAGACACGGCCCAAACUCCUACGGGAGGCAGCAGUGGGGAAUCUUGCGCAUUGGGCGAAAGCCUGACGCAGCCAUGCCGCGUGAAUGAUGAAGGUCUUAGGAUUGUAAAAUUCUUUCACCGGGGACGAUAAUGACGGUACCCGGAGAAGAAGCCCCGGCUAACUUCGUG